This 731-nucleotide ribosomal RNA is filed under the name Mycobacterium lentiflavum. RNAcentral's name for it is "bacterial SSU rRNA". It matches the Rfam family "Bacterial small subunit ribosomal RNA", at positions 64 to 811 of the family's 1533-position model. Lineage: Bacteria; Bacillati; Actinomycetota; Actinomycetes; Mycobacteriales; Mycobacteriaceae. The record is from RNAcentral.
CGACGGAAGGCCUCUUCGGAGGUACUCGAGUGGCGAACGGGUGAGUAACACGUGGGUAAUCUGCCCUGCACUUCGGGAUAAGCCUGGGAAACUGGGUCUAAUACCGGAUAGGACCUUUUGGCGCAUGCCUUUUGGUGGAAAGCUUUUGCGGUGUGGGAUGGGCCCGCGGCCUAUCAGCUUGUUGGUGGGGUGACGGCCUACCAAGGCGACGACGGGUAGCCGGCCUGAGAGGGUGUCCGGCCACACUGGGACUGAGAUACGGCCCAGACUCCUACGGGAGGCAGCAGUGGGGAAUAUUGCACAAUGGGCGCAAGCCUGAUGCAGCGACGCCGCGUGGGGGAUGACGGCCUUCGGGUUGUAAACCUCUUUCAGCAGGGACGAAGCGCAAGUGACGGUACCUGCAGAAGAAGCACCGGCCAACUACGUGCCAGCAGCCGCGGUAAUACGUAGGGUGCGAGCGUUGUCCGGAAUUACUGGGCGUAAAGAGCUCGUAGGUGGUUUGUCGCGUUGUUCGUGAAAACCGGGGGCUUAACCCUCGGCGUGCGGGCGAUACGGGCAGACUGGAGUACUGCAGGGGAGACUGGAAUUCCUGGUGUAGCGGUGGAAUGCGCAGAUAUCAGGAGGAACACCGGUGGCGAAGGCGGGUCUCUGGGCAGUAACUGACGCUGAGGAGCGAAAGCGUGGGGAGCGAACAGGAUUAGAUACCCUGGUAGUCCACGCCGUAAACGGUG